RNAcentral lists this ribosomal RNA (407 nucleotides) under uncultured bacterium. RNAcentral describes it as "bacterial SSU rRNA". It matches the Rfam family "Bacterial small subunit ribosomal RNA", at positions 355 to 776 of the family's 1533-position model. The record is from RNAcentral.
UGGGGAAUAUUGGGCAAUGGGGGGAACCCUGACCCAGCAACGCCGCGUGAAGGACGAAGGCCUUCGGGUUGUAAACUUCUUUGAACAGGGACGAAACAAAUGACGGUACCUGAAGAACAAGCCACGGCUAACUACGUGCCAGCAGCCGCGGUAAUACGUAGGUGGCGAGCGUUAUCCGGAUUUACUGGGUGUAAAGGGCGUGUAGGCGGACCGGCAAGUCGGGUGUGAAAUCCCCGGGCUUAACUCGGGUAUGUCAUCCGAAACUGCAGGUCUUGAGUACUGGAGAGGAUAGUGGAAUUCCUAGUGUAGCGGUAAAAUGCGUAGAUAUUAGGAGGAACACCAGUGGCGAAGGCGGCUAUCUGGCCAGUAACUGACGCUGAGGCGCGAAAGCGUGGGGAGCAAACAGG